RNAcentral lists this ribosomal RNA (467 nucleotides) under uncultured bacterium. RNAcentral describes it as "partial 16S ribosomal RNA". It matches the Rfam family "Bacterial small subunit ribosomal RNA", at positions 28 to 507 of the family's 1533-position model. The record is from RNAcentral.
GACGAACGCUGGCGGCGUGCUUAACACAUGCAAGUCGAACGGAAAGGCCUCUUUCGGGGGGUGCUCUCGUGGCGAACGGGUGAGUAACACGUGAGUAACCUGCGCUUUACUUUGUGAUAACUUCAGGAAACUCGGGCUAAUACCCGAUAUGAGCUCCUGCUGCACGGGGUGGGGUUGAGAGUUUCGGCGGGUGGGGAUGGGAUCGCGGCUUAUCAGCUUGUUGGGGGGGUAUUGGCUUACCCAGGCCUUGUCGGGGAGCCGGGCUGGGAGGGUGACCGGCCACAUUGGGGCCGGGAUACGGGCCAGACCCCCUAGGGAGGCAGGAGGGGGGAAUAUUGCACCAUGGGUGGGAGCCCGAUGCAGGCAAGCCGGGUGCGGGAAGACGGGCUUUGGGUUGGAAACCGCUUUCGCUCAUGACGAAGCCGUGUGUGACGGUAGUGGGUAAAGAAGCACCGGCUAACUACGUG